RNAcentral lists this ribosomal RNA (896 nucleotides) under Lentzea flava. RNAcentral's name for it is "bacterial SSU rRNA". It matches the Rfam family "Bacterial small subunit ribosomal RNA". The record is from RNAcentral. Lineage: Bacteria; Bacillati; Actinomycetota; Actinomycetes; Pseudonocardiales; Pseudonocardiaceae.
GGGGGGGGGUUUUUAGAGUUUUGAAACAGGCUCAGGACGAACGCUGGCGGCGUGCUUAACACAUGCAAGUCGAGCGGUAAGGCCCUUCGGGGUACACGAGCGGCGAACGGGUGAGUAACACGUGAGCAACCUGCCCCUGACUCUGGGAUAAGCGGUGGAAACGCCGUCUAAUACCGGAUACGACCCGCCACCUCAUGGUGGAGGGUGGAAAGUUUUUCGGUCAGGGAUGGGCUCGCGGCCUAUCAGCUUGUUGGUGGGGUAACGGCCUACCAAGGCGAUUACGGGUAGCCGGCCUGAGAGGGCGACCGGCCACACUGGGACUGAGACACGGCCCAGACUCCUGCGGGAGGCAGCAGUGGGGAAUAUUGCGCAAUGGGCGAAAGCCUGACGCAGCGACGCCGCGUGGGGGAUGACGGCCUUCGGGUUGUAAACCUCUUUUACCACCAACGCAGGCUCGAAGUUCUCUUCGGGUUGACGGUAGGUGGGGAAUAAGGACCGGCUAACUACGUGCCAGCAGCCGCGGUAAUACGUAGGGUCCGAGCGUUGUCCGGAAUUAUUGGGCGUAAAGAGCUCGUAGGCGGCGUGUCGCGUCUGCUGUGAAAGACCGGGGCUUAACUCCGGUUCUGCAGUGGAUACGGGCAUGCUAGAGGUAGGUAGGGGAGACUGGAAUUCCUGGUGUAGCGGUGAAAUGCGCAGAUAUCAGGAGGAACACCGGUGGCGAAGGCGGGUCUCUGGGCCUUACCUGACGCUGAGGAGCGAAAGCAUGGGGAGCGAACAGGAUUAGAUACCCUGGUAGUCCAUGCCGUAAACGUUGGGCGCUAGGUGUGGGGACUUUCCACGGUUUCCGCGCCGUAGCUAACGCAUAAGCGCCCCGCCUGGAGAUGCGAUGCUUUGCU